RNAcentral lists this ribosomal RNA (451 nucleotides) under uncultured bacterium. Its description in RNAcentral is "bacterial SSU rRNA". It matches the Rfam family "Bacterial small subunit ribosomal RNA", at positions 328 to 794 of the family's 1533-position model. The record is from RNAcentral.
UUUCCAGACUCCUACGGGAGGCAGCAGUGGGGGAUAUUGCACAAUGGGGGAAACCCUGAUGCAGCGACGCCGCGUGGGCGAAGAAGUCUUUCGGUAUGUAAAGCCCUAUCAGCAGGGAAGAAGAAAUGACGGUACCUGAGUAAGAAGCACCGGCUAAAUACGUGCCAGCAGCCGCGGUAAUACGUAUGGUGCAAGCGUUAUCCGGAUUUACUGGGUGUAAAGGGAGCGCAGGCGGCACGGCAAGCCUGAUGUGAAAGCCCGCGGCCCAACCGCGGGACUGCAUUGGGAACUACCGGGCUGGAGUGCCGGAGAGGUAGGCGGAAUUCCUAGUGUAGCGGUGAAAUGCGUAGAUAUCAGGAGGAACACCGGUGGCGAAGGCGGCCUGCUGGACUGCAACUGACGUUGAGGCCCGAAAGCGUGGGGAGCAAACAGGAUUAGAUACCCUAGUAAA